UCUGUCUGUGUCUACUUGGAUCAAUUGAAACCAUUGAUAUCUGACUCUCAGUUUCUCUUUCCCAGAUGCAGGUACACCCCAAAAGCUACAUUUCCCCCAUGUUUGACCAUGUUGCCUAUGAAAAAAAGGUUUCUUCCUUAUUGUACGACUCUCCCACAUCCCUUAAUUUCAGAUACCCGAUAUGUUACAAUAUGUAGGCACUGUGUGGAGUUAUGCAGCAUGAGGAUCUCAUUCUAUCAGAGAGAGAGAUCAGUGAGACGGUGACGCCUCGCACAAUCAGAGGGACCACGCUGAGAGCCAGACAGCACUGCGAAAGGAAAGAGCUCCAUAAUGGAGGAGCAGGAGGUUGAGCACCACGUAAUUGGCAAGUCUUCCUGCUUUUCUUUCUUUUUUUUUGCCCACACCUCUCUACUUCCAUGCAUGGUGCAAGUGAUGUUAAAUUGCCUUCUCUCUCUCUGUAUUCCCUCAUUAUUUCUCUCUUCCUGUCAGCAUUGCAGAACAGUAGAAUAUGCGAUCCCAGACACUAGUCAGAUUCGGAGAUGGGCCCGAAAUGCUGCUAAAGAAUGUUCCCUGUCCAUCUGUCAGCAUUCCUGGGACAGAGCUGCUUUUAGCUUCCUUUAUUCAAGACAAUCGUCCUUGUCUGCUCUUCAUUCGGGUCUGUGUCCACACUGGAUCACUAUUUGUGUGUGAGCCCGUCCAUUAUGAGGCGUAUCCCGAGCGGGAUACUGUGACUCUGCCUGUGCUCAGAUCCUGAGUCACUGGCUCUGAACAAUGGACAGACUUAGAGACGGAGCAGUACAUCUUAUGCACACCCUGUGUGUACAUUCAAAGGGACAACCAGGCAUAACAGGAAGCUGUUGCCAUCAUUGCUGUCAAGAAGGGAGAGGGAACGCUGUCUAUCGAUGUGCUAGAUGACUUAAAUGUUCUCGAAGAUGACAUGGUGAUGCCUUCAAAAUCCUGGUUCAGUGCACAGACUCUGGUUUUUGCCUUUCACAUGAACUUCAAGACUUCUUUUUACCUUCUUAAUUUUGUGAAAAGGUAACACUGACUCAAUUGAUUGAUUACAUUUGCUCUACAUCCACAGACCGUUUGUUUAAUACAUGAUAACUUGUUUUGUUCUAGAUAUGCUUGACUGAAAUAAA
Danio rerio (zebrafish) is the source of this 1142-nucleotide non-coding RNA. The record is from RefSeq and is a predicted model, not a curated record. Lineage: Eukaryota; Metazoa; Chordata; Actinopteri; Cypriniformes; Danionidae.